Long non-coding RNA from Selaginella moellendorffii, 1375 nucleotides. RefSeq lists it as uncharacterized. The record is from RefSeq and is a predicted model, not a curated record. NCBI's taxonomy places the organism in Eukaryota, Viridiplantae, Streptophyta, Lycopodiopsida, Selaginellales, Selaginellaceae. The transcript has 3 exons.
UCUUUGUGAAUUUCUGGCCGAAUGUCUGCUACUUUUUGUCAAAGAAGUUUUGUUUUCUGUUUUUUUCCUUUUCUUACAGUUGUCCUUGGUUUGGCAUAUUUCUUCUUCACUUCCUUUUGGCAUUGAGUAUAUCAAUUGCCGAAACUCAAAUCUCUGUAUGAUUCUUGGAUGGUUUUUUAACUUCCCCUUUCUAAAGUUGUCAGCUUUUUAGUGAUUUUGUCUUGAUCCCUGCCUGAGUGUGAUGCUCUCUGCUUUUAGAAUUCAAGCAGUCAACUUUGCAGUGUUUUGUUUCUUCUUUUUUAUUUUGCGCUGUUAAGCACUAGAAUCACUGCCAUGCCUGGCUGAUAAUUGCUUGUGAGUACUUCUUUAGUUUUCUUUCCUCGUUUCCUCAUAGCUUUGCUAAAGCUGUUACAACUUUUCAGUGCUCCAUGCUCCAAAGGCUCAUGUUUCAGCGCGAUACAGCUUUGAAAACUCCAAACGCGUGCCCAAAGUAGUCCUGGUGGAUACCGAUGGCUUACUCCCGGACCAGAAAAACGUCUCCGAGACUUCAAUCGCAAACCAAAACGCAAACCAAAACAUGUUAACAAUUCUCGUCUUCUGGCAUUCAUCUCUAUGUUUUCUAAACUUGAUCACCGCUUGUCACAAGCAAACUACAGCCUCAUCCUUGAAAAAACUGGAACUGGCACACUAUAAAUGAUCUUGCUGGAAACAUUUGCGAGAAAAGAGGAGAGAGGAGAUCUGCUGGCCCUGGCAACUCGGUUCUUUCUUCUUGUGGUGUGGAGGAAAGGAAGACCAGGUUUCAGCUUUUAGUUCUGAAAGAUCAAAGUUAUACCACCACUCAAAUGUGGAGAGUGACAUUGGAAGCUGACGAAUCUUUUCUUCACACAGACAUCCUUCUUGUCGCUGACACACAAGUUCUUGUUUUUGGUUCAUUUUUUUCCGUUGCUUUUUUCUUUUAGAAACCGUGCUGCUAUUCGUUUCUAACUUGGUUUGUCUAUUGCUGUUUACCGGACAGAUGUUGGGGAAAAACCGUUUCUUUUCGACAACCAAUUGUCAAAAGGAUUGUAAGCGCAAAGGACCGAUAGCGAAUCUUGCAACCCUGGUCUCGGUUUUCAACUGGUGAAAAAUUGUCAUUUGGCCACUGGACUGGAGUGGAGGGAGCUUUAUGGUAUCUAUAUUUUUACAGAACUUUAGCCUUUUUUCUCCAGGCUUGAAGUUUCCAUACAAACUUGCGAAAUCCAGCUUGAGUUUUGCACGCCACCACCGGACUCGUCCCUGCUUUUUAGUCAGCUUGGGAGUAAAAAAUGUUCUUUCUUUUGUUUCUUGCUCAGAUCCGGUCAGUGUUCUUGAAAAUUGUCAAAGGGGCGGUUCCAAA